AUCGUUUGAUAUCAUUGAUAAUCUAGCUAAGGUGCCAAGGAGGAGUCCACUUACCUCGAGCCAUCUGGAUAACUAACUUUAAGUCCUUUUCAAGCAUCAAUUUUUGGAUAACCUUCAUCCUUGCAAGCAGCAAUCCUUCCUUCAAGGCAGUAGCUUCCACAAUAGUGAUAGUGGCACAGUAAGGCCUAAAAUGCCACCUCCCCGGAGUGAUAGCAAUAUACAUCCACUCCACAGGGUUAGACCCAGAGUGAAUAUAAGGCCAAGCUCUCCCCCACGAGGGAAGGAUCUAAUCAGGUGGUUCUCGGAUCGAUCGCAUUAACUAAUCCUGUAUCCGUAGUCAAAGCACUCCAAGUGGAGUCGGUUCACUCCUGGAGUACGGAUUGGGCCAUGUAUCCUUGCUCAAGUGCUAGCCUAUCUUGCCUAGAUUGCGCGGUACCUCCUCGCCUAUGUGAAAUGUCAGACUGCGCCUACUAACGCGGCUGCGCAUGCGCCUUCAAGCCACGAUGUGGAAGAGAUAAAUGGUCUUUCCCUGAUGUGGCGUACGUACGUCAGAAUGGUCCCCUUGAUGCCCACAUCUCUGAUGACUCUGGGGAAUGUCGGAUGACAUGGACCGACUUUGCAACGCUUAUAAAUACGACUGAUGGCUCCUAAAAAAGGUUCCUUACUUAGCAGUCACAAAAAAAUGACUACAACAGACACCAUCCAAAUUUAACGCCCCUGCACCAAUAGGUCUCCCCUACUGAUCCUACCUCUUACUUGACUGUUAAGGUUUGUAAUUAUUCAUUGGUUCUCCCUAUUGAGUCUAAUAAUUCUUUCAGUAGUAUAGAUGAAGAGGUUAUUGUGCUAUUGUUUCAAAAUAUGACAACUCGUUGAGGAUAAAUAUUAUUAUUU
Long non-coding RNA from Malus domestica (apple), 891 nucleotides. RefSeq lists it as uncharacterized. The record is from RefSeq and is a predicted model, not a curated record. Lineage: Eukaryota; Viridiplantae; Streptophyta; Magnoliopsida; Rosales; Rosaceae.